RNAcentral lists this long non-coding RNA (626 nucleotides) under Lepisosteus oculatus (spotted gar). RNAcentral's name for it is "lncRNA (ENSLOCG00000021910.1)". Lineage: Eukaryota; Metazoa; Chordata; Actinopteri; Semionotiformes; Lepisosteidae. The record is from RNAcentral.
UCAGAACAUGGCAUAAUUGUGUACUUCAGCCUUGGAAUGCGAUUUUUCAAUGAAUGACUGCACAAGAAAAGGUGGAAGCUCCAAACAGAGCUGAACUCAGUACAGAGGAGCCAGCCUCAGAGGACUGGAUUGGAGGCAUCAAUUGUGACUGCACAUGUCCCGGGAAUUUGUUCAGAUAGCUAACGAUUCGGCGGGGUGGGGGACAGUAAGGCUGUGUUUGCCCACGGGGGUGGGGGCUGGGAGGCGGUUCAGCAAGGCCAUUUUCCUGCUCCCUCCGCGAUCGUGCGCCGACAAGCCCCAGCCUGGGAUCGGAGCCAUCCUUCCACUCUUGCGAGGCAGGCUGCCAAGAACCCCCCGAGCCUGCCUAGCUCAUCACACCUAGGAGCCAGGAGCCAGGGGAUUAGGCUUUGAAGGCAGUGGGAGGAGGAAUUUAACUGGCGAUGUUUUGAGGCGUGGCGCUCUCUGCACCAGGGUAGGGUACAAGAACAGAUUGCCAGCAUGGCUUGUUGUUUUGGCAAAUAAGUCUUGGUGUCCAAAUUCAGAUAAUAUUCCUGUCAUUGGGAGCAAAUCAUGCUGGAAUGAUCUAACGUGUUUGCAGGUCUAGACAAAUCUUGACCUUUUUUUCU